Molecule: ribosomal RNA, 440 nt
Filed under: uncultured bacterium
Lineage: Bacteria
Description: partial 16S ribosomal RNA
Rfam family: Bacterial small subunit ribosomal RNA
Source: RNAcentral
CCUACGGGAGGCAGCAGUGGGGGAUAUUGCACAAUGGGGGAAACCCUGAUGCAGCGACGCCGCGUGGGUGAAGAAGCGCCUCGGCGCGUAAAGCCCUGUCAGCAGGGAAGAAAAUGACGGUUCCUGAAGAAGAAGCCCCGGCUAACUACGUGCCAGCAGCCGCGGUAAUACGUAGGGGGCAAGCGUGAUCCGGAUUUACUGGGUGUAAAGGGGGCGCAGACGGCGAUGCAAGCCAGGAGUGAAAGCCCGGGGCCCAACCCCGGGACUGCUCUUGGAACUGCGUGGCUAGAGUGCAGGAGGGGCAGGCGGAAUUCCUGGUGUAGCGGUGAAAUGCGUAGAUAUCAGGAGGAACACCGGUGGCGAAGGCGGCCUGCUGGACUGCAACUGACGUUGAGGCCCGAAAGCGUGGGGAGCAAACAGGAUUAGAUACCCCAGUAGUC